AUGUUUUCCAGAGAGAAUGCAAGGGAGGGAGUAUUCCAAAGCAUACAGUGUGACCAGAGAAAAAGGGGGAAUUAACAGCAAAAGGGCAGAAAACGGAUUGAACACUUACAGGAGGUGCAAACAGUAGCACAGAUGGCAGUACAGAGGAGAGCAAGAGAAGAUGUCCCCACCAGUGUGCCUCCAGUUGUUGCAAAACUACAACUCCCAGCAUGCAGCAUGUAGUUGGAAGCAACAAUGGUUGGCUAAUACAGUAGACAACGUAUGACAUUGAGUUCAUGCUUCAGAUGCCUACCUUACUUUUCCUUAAAACCCCUCCUGCUUGAUGGGAAAUGGAACAAGAGCCAGAGUAUGACUGAGAAUGACAACUAAGCGAAAAC
Molecule: long non-coding RNA, 377 nt
Organism: Hyla sarda
Lineage: Eukaryota; Metazoa; Chordata; Amphibia; Anura; Hylidae
Exons: 3
Source: RefSeq, a predicted model, not a curated record